CCACGGGUUGCUCCAGUGAGGAAUAUUGCACAAUGGGGGGAACCCUGAUGCAGCAACGCCGCGUGGAGGAUGACGCAUUUCGGUGUGUAAACUCCUUUUAUAUGUCAAGAAAAUGACGGUAGCAUAUGAAUAAGCACCGGCUAACUCCGUGCCAGCAGCCGCGGUAAUACGGAGGGUGCAAGCGUUACUCGGAAUCACUGGGCGUAAAGGACGCGUAGGCGGGUUGGAAAGUCAGGUGUGAAAUCCUACAGCUUAACUGUAGAACUGCACUUGAAACUUCUAAUCUAGAGUAUGGGAGGGGGAGAUGGAAUUAGUGGUGUAGGGGUAAAAUCCGUAGAUAUCACUAGGAAUACCUAAAGCGAAGGCGAUCUCCUGGAACAUUACUGACGCUAAGGCGUGAAAGCGUGGGGAGCAAGCAGGAUUAGAUACCCGCGUAGUC
Molecule: ribosomal RNA, 439 nt
Filed under: uncultured bacterium
Lineage: Bacteria
Description: partial 16S ribosomal RNA
Rfam family: Bacterial small subunit ribosomal RNA
Source: RNAcentral